This 710-nucleotide ribosomal RNA is filed under the name uncultured bacterium. RNAcentral describes it as "bacterial SSU rRNA". It matches the Rfam family "Bacterial small subunit ribosomal RNA", at positions 9 to 722 of the family's 1533-position model. The record is from RNAcentral.
GAGUUUGAUCAUGGCUCAGGAUGAACGCUAGCGGCAGGCUUAACACAUGCAAGUCGAGGGGUAGUUACUUUCGGGUAAUGAGACCGGCGCACGGGUGCGUAACGCGUAUGCAAUCUACCUUUUACAGGGGAAUAGCCCAGAGAAAUUUGGAUUAAUGCCCCAUGGUAUUAUAGAGUGGCAUCACUUUAUAAUUAAAGUUCCAACGGUAAAAGAUGAGCAUGCGUCCCAUUAGUUAGUUGGUAAGGUAACGGCUUACCAAGACGAUGAUGGGUAGGGGUCCUGAGAGGGAGAUCCCCCACACUGGUACUGAGACACGGACCAGACUCCUACGGGAGGCAGCAGUGAGGAAUAUUGGACAAUGGGCGCAAGCCUGAUCCAGCCAUGCCGCGUGCAGGAAGAAGCAUCUAUGGUGUGUAAACUGCUUUUAUACAGGAAGAAACACUCCCUCGUGAGGGAGCUUGACGGUACUGUAAGAAUAAGGACCGGCUAACUCCGUGCCAGCAGCCGCGGUAAUACGGAGGGUCCAAGCGUUAUCCGGAAUCAUUGGUUUAAAGGGUCCGUAGGCGGUUUAAUAAGUCAGUGGUGAAAUCUGGUCGCUCAACGAUCAAACGGCCAUUGAUACUGUUAGACUUGAAUUAUAAGGGAGUAACUAGAAUAUGUAGUGUAGCGGUGAAAUGCUUAGAUAUACAUGGAAUACCAAUUGCGAAGGC